This 77-nucleotide transfer RNA is filed under the name Mycobacterium tuberculosis variant bovis. RNAcentral's name for it is "tRNA-Leu". It matches the Rfam family "tRNA". Rfam says of the family: Transfer RNA (tRNA) molecules are approximately 80 nucleotides in length. Their secondary structure includes four short double-helical elements and three loops (D, anti-codon, and T loops). The record is from RNAcentral. Lineage: Bacteria; Bacillati; Actinomycetota; Actinomycetes; Mycobacteriales; Mycobacteriaceae.
GCCCCCAUAGCCCAAUUGGCAGGGCAGAGGCACGACUUAAAAUCCGUCAAGUGUCGGUUCGAGUCCGACUGGGGGCA